UUACGAGGAGGAUAGCAGCUCGAAAGGGCUAUUAAUACUCCAUAGGUUUAUAAACUAAAUUAAAGAGGCUCCCUCCGGGGCCUUGCGUAAAACUAGGAAUAUGUCCUAUUAGGUAGUUGGCGGGGUAAAGGCCCACCAAGCCAAUGAUGGGUAGCUGGACUGAGAGGUUGAACAGCCGCAAUGGGAUUGAGAUAUGGCCCAUAUUCCUACGGGAAGCAGCAGUGAGGAAUUUUUCACAAUGGACGAAAGUCUGAUGGAGCAAUACCACGUGAACGAUGAAGGUCUUCUGAUUGUAAAGUUCUUUUAUUUAGGAAAAAAAGCGUGCUAGGAAAUGAGUGCGCCUUGAUGGUACUAAUUGAAUAAGUGACAGCUAACUAUGUGCCAGCAGCUGCGGUAAAACAUAGGUCACGAGCAUUAUCCGGAUUUAUUGGGCGUAAAGGAAGCGUAGGCGGGGAGGUUGAUCCAUUGUUAAAAGCAUUUGCUUAACAAAUGUGUGCAUUGGAGAUCGCCUCCCUAGAGUUAAUCAGGGGGUACUGGAAUUCAAUGUGUAGCGGUGGAAUGCGUAGAUAUAUUGAGGAACACCAGAGGCUAAGGCGAGUGCCUAGGAUAUAACUGACGCUGAGGCUUGAAAGCGUGGGGAGCAAAUGGGAUUAGAUACCCCAGUAGUCCACGCCGUAAACGAUGAGCAUUGGGCAUUUGACAUCUGGUCGAGUGCUGUAGCUAACGCGUUAAAUGCUCCGCCUGGGUAGUAUAUAUGCAAAUAUGAAACUCAAAGAAAUUGACGGGGACCUG
This 792-nucleotide ribosomal RNA is filed under the name Mycoplasma wenyonii. RNAcentral describes it as "bacterial SSU rRNA". It matches the Rfam family "Bacterial small subunit ribosomal RNA", at positions 132 to 923 of the family's 1533-position model. The record is from RNAcentral. Lineage: Bacteria; Bacillati; Mycoplasmatota; Mollicutes; Mycoplasmatales; Mycoplasmataceae.